This 255-nucleotide ribosomal RNA is filed under the name uncultured bacterium. RNAcentral's name for it is "partial 16S ribosomal RNA". It matches the Rfam family "Bacterial small subunit ribosomal RNA", at positions 524 to 777 of the family's 1533-position model. The record is from RNAcentral.
UACGAAGGGGGCUAGCGUUGUUCGGAAUCACUGGGCGUAAAGCGCACGUAGGCGGAUUGUUAAGUCGGGGGUGAAAUCCUGAGGCUCAACCUCAGAACUGCCUUCGAUACUGGCAAUCUCGAGUCCGGAAGAGGUUGGUGGAACAGCUAGUGUAGAGGUGAAAAUUCGUAGAUAUUAGCUAGAACACCAGUGGCGAAGGCGGCCAACUGGUCCGGUACUGACGCUGAGGUGCGAAAGCGUGGGGAGCAAACAGGG